This 404-nucleotide ribosomal RNA is filed under the name uncultured Dorea sp. Its description in RNAcentral is "bacterial SSU rRNA". It matches the Rfam family "Bacterial small subunit ribosomal RNA", at positions 355 to 776 of the family's 1533-position model. Lineage: Bacteria; Bacillati; Bacillota; Clostridia; Lachnospirales; Lachnospiraceae. The record is from RNAcentral.
UGGGGAAUAUUGCACAAUGGGGGAAACCCUGAUGCAGCGACGCCGCGUGAAGGAUGAAGUAUUUCGGUAUGUAAACUUCUAUCAGCAGGGAAGAAAAUGACGGUACCUGACUAAGAAGCCCCGGCUAACUACGUGCCAGCAGCCGCGGUAAUACGUAGGGGGCAAGCGUUAUCCGGAUUUACUGGGUGUAAAGGGAGCGUAGACGGUUAUGUAAGUCUGAUGUGAAAACCCGGGGCUCAACCCCGGGACUGCAUUGGAAACUAUGUAACUAGAGUGUCGGAGAGGUAAGUGGAAUUCCUAGUGUAGCGGUGAAAUGCGUAGAUAUUAGGAGGAACACCAGUGGCGAAGGCGGCUUACUGGACGAUCACUGACGUUGAGGCUCGAAAGCGUGGGGAGCAAACAGG